This 341-nucleotide ribosomal RNA is filed under the name uncultured bacterium. RNAcentral describes it as "bacterial SSU rRNA". It matches the Rfam family "Bacterial small subunit ribosomal RNA", at positions 30 to 373 of the family's 1533-position model. The record is from RNAcentral.
AUUGAACGCUGGCGGCAUGCCUUACACAUGCAAGUCGAACGGCAGCGGACCUUCGGGUGCCGGCGAGUGGCGAACGGGUGAGUAAUGCAUCGGAACGUGCCAUUGAGUGGGGGAUAACGUAGCGAAAGUUACGCUAAUACCGCAUAUUCUGUGAGCAGGAAAGCAGGGGACCGCAAGGCCUUGCGCUCUUUGAGCGGCCGAUGUCAGAUUAGCUAGUUGGUGAGGUAAAGGCUUACCAAGGCGACGAUCUGUAGCGGGUCUGAGAGGAUGAUCCGCCACACUGGAACUGAGACACGGUCCAGACUCCUACGGGAGGCAGCAGUGGGGAAUUUUGGACAAUG